Molecule: ribosomal RNA, 301 nt
Filed under: uncultured bacterium
Lineage: Bacteria
Description: partial 16S ribosomal RNA
Rfam family: Bacterial small subunit ribosomal RNA
Source: RNAcentral
CAGUCGCCGCGGUAAUACGAAGGGGGCUAGCGUUGUUCGGAAUCACUGGGCGUAAAGCGCACGUAGGCGGAUGAUUAAGUCAGGGGUGAAAUCCCGAGGCUCAACCUCGGAACUGCCUUUGAUACUGGUUAUCUUGAGUCCGGGAGAGGUGAGUGGAACUGCGAGUGUAGAGGUGAAAUUCGUAGAUAUUCGCAAGAACACCAGUGGCGAAGGCGGCUCACUGGCCCGGAACUGACGCUGAGGUGCGAAAGCGUGGGGAGCAAACAGGAUUAGAUACCCGAGUAGUCCCUGUCUCUUAUAA